GGUUAAGCGACUAAGCGUACACGGUGGAUGCCUAGGCAGUCAGAGGCGAUGAAGGGCGUGCUAAUCUGCGAAAAGCGUCGGUAAGCUGAUAUGAAGCGUUACAACCGACGAUACCCGAAUGGGGAAACCCAGUGCAAUUCGUUGCACUAUUGCAUGGUGAAUACAUAGCCAUGCAAGGCGAACCGGGGGAACUGAAACAUCUAAGUACCCCGAGGAAAAGAAAUCAACCGAGAUUCCCCCAGUAGCGGCGAGCGAACGGGGAAGAGCCCAGAGUCUGAAUCAGUUUAUGUGUUAGUGGAAGCGUCUGGAAAGUCGCACGGUACAGGGUGAUAGUCCCGUACACAAAAAUGCAUAUUCUGUGAACUCGAUGAGUAGGGCGGGACACGUGACAUCCUGUCUGAAUAUGGGGGGACCAUCCUCCAAGGCUAAAUACUCCUGACUGACCGAUAGUGAACCAGUACCGUGAGGGAAAGGCGAAAAGAACCCCGGCGAGGGGAGUGAAAUAGAACCUGAAACCGUGUACGUACAAGCAGUGGGAGCACCUUCGUGGUGUGACUGCGUACCUUUUGUAUAAUGGGUCAGCGACUUAUAUUUUGUAGCAAGGUUAACCGAAUAGGGGAGCCGUAGGGAAACCGAGUCUUAACUGGGCGUCUAGUUGCAAGGUAUAGACCCGAAACCCGGUGAUCUAGCCAUGGGCAGGUUGAAGGUUGGGUAACACUAACUGGAGGACCGAACCGACUAAUGUUGAAAAAUUAGCGGAUGACUUGUGGCUGGGGGUGAAAGGCCAAUCAAACCGGGAGAUAGCUGGUUCUCCCCGAAAGCUAUUUAGGUAGCGCCUCGUGAACUCAUCUUCGGGGGUAGAGCACUGUUUCGGCUAGGGGGUCAUCCCGACUUACCAAACCGAUGCAAACUCCGAAUACCGAAGAAUGUUAUCACGGGAGACACACGGCGGGUGCUAACGUCCGUCGUGAAGAGGGAAACAACCCAGACCGCCAGCUAAGGUCCCAAAGUCAUGGUUAAGUGGGAAACGAUGUGGGAAGGCAUAGACAGCCAGGAUGUUGGCUUAGAAGCAGCCAUCAUUUAAAGAAAGCGUAAUAGCUCACUGGUCGAGUCGGCCUGCGCGGAAGAUGUAACGGGGCUAAACCAUGCACCGAAGCUGCGGCAGCGACACUUAGGUGUUGUUGGGUAGGGGAGCGUUCUGUAAGCCGUUGAAGGUGACCUGUGAGGGUUGCUGGAGGUAUCAGAAGUGCGAAUGCUGACAUAAGUAACGAUAAUGCGGGUGAAAAACCCGCACGCCGGAAGACCAAGGGUUCCUGUCCAACGUUAAUCGGGGCAGGGUGAGUCGACCCCUAAGGCGAGGCUGAAAAGCGUAGUCGAUGGGAAACAGGUUAAUAUUCCUGUACUUGGUGUUACUGCGAAGGGGGGACGGAGAAGGCUAGGCUAGCCGGGCGACGGUUGUCCCGGUUUAAGCAUGUAGGCGGAGUGACUUGGUAAAUCCGGUUGCUUAUCAACGCUGAGGUGUGAUGACGAUGCACUACGGUGCAGAAGUAGUUGAUGCCAAGCUUCCAGGAAAAGCCUCUAAGCAUCAGGUAACAUUAAAUCGUACCCCAAACCGACACAGGUGGUCAGGUAGAGAAUACUCAGGCGCUUGAGAGAACUCGGGUGAAGGAACUAGGCAAAAUGGUGCCGUAACUUCGGGAGAAGGCACGCUGGCAUUAGGUAAAGAGACUUGCUCUCGGCGCCGAAGCCAGUCGCAGAUACCAGCUGGCUGCAACUGUUUAAUAAAAACACAGCACUGUGCAAACACGAAAGUGGACGUAUACGGUGUGACGCCUGCCCGGUGCUGGAAGGUUAAUUGAUGGGGUCAGCCUUACGGCGAAGCUCUUGAUCGAAGCCCCAGUAAACGGCGGCCGUAACUAUAACGGUCCUAAGGUAGCGAAAUUCCUUGUCGGGUAAGUUCCGACCUGCACGAAUGGCGUAAUGAUGGCCAGGCUGUCUCCACCCGAGACUCAGUGAAAUUGAACUCGCUGUGAAGAUGCAGUGUACCCGCGGCAAGACGGAAAGACCCCGUGAACCUUUACUAUAGCUUGACACUGAACAUUGAGCCUUGAUGUGUAGGAUAGGUGGGAGGCAUCGAAGUGUGGACGCCAGUCUGCAUGGAGCCAACCUUGAAAUACCACCCUUUAAUGUUUGAUGUUCUAACUCGGCCCCGU
RNAcentral lists this ribosomal RNA (2213 nucleotides) under Yersinia aleksiciae. Its description in RNAcentral is "partial 23S ribosomal RNA". It matches the Rfam family "Bacterial large subunit ribosomal RNA", at positions 1 to 2236 of the family's 2925-position model. The record is from RNAcentral. Lineage: Bacteria; Pseudomonadati; Pseudomonadota; Gammaproteobacteria; Enterobacterales; Yersiniaceae.